RNAcentral lists this long non-coding RNA (199 nucleotides) under Elaeis guineensis (African oil palm). Its description in RNAcentral is "long non-coding RNA (EGUI_LNC018428)". The record is from RNAcentral. Lineage: Eukaryota; Viridiplantae; Streptophyta; Magnoliopsida; Arecales; Arecaceae.
UGUGUCAAGAUGGGAUUGACCACUCCAGUUCAGGAGCUGUGCACAGUCGUGUUUCAAUUUAGAAAAAUCUUGGCCAGGGUAGUCCUAAUGAGGAGUCACAGGACUGUUUGAGUUGAGCAUGAUUCGGAUGAUCUAAUCAGGGUUGACAGUUUAACCCUGAGUCAUCCUAAACACAGGGGUCAAAAGGAAUGAAUUAUAC